Molecule: non-coding RNA, 75 nt
Organism: Mus musculus (house mouse)
Lineage: Eukaryota; Metazoa; Chordata; Mammalia; Rodentia; Muridae
Source: Rfam
GGCCUUAAGUGAUGGAGACAUACCCUGGGAGGCCCAUGACCGGACUGGGAUGUAUUCGUACUGUCUGAUGGGGCU